This 253-nucleotide ribosomal RNA is filed under the name uncultured bacterium. RNAcentral describes it as "partial 16S ribosomal RNA". It matches the Rfam family "Bacterial small subunit ribosomal RNA", at positions 524 to 776 of the family's 1533-position model. The record is from RNAcentral.
UACAGAGGUCUCAACCGUUGUUCGGAUUCAUUGGGCGUAAAGGGUGCGUAGGCGGUCGCGUAAGUCAGGUGUGAAAUCUCAGGGCUCAACCCUGAAACUGCACUUGAUACUGCGUGGCUCGGGUACUGGAGAGGAGACUGGAAUUUACGGUGUAGCAGUGAAAUGCGUAGAUAUCGGAAGGAACACCAGUGGCGAAAGCGGCUUCCUGGUCCAGCACCGACGUUCAGGCACGAAAGCGUGGGGAGCAAACAGG